AAGAGAGUAGUAUCAAUCGGUUAGUAUAGUGAUUUCCAAAAUCAUUGGUAGGUGUUCAAGUCGCCUCUCUCUUG
This 74-nucleotide transfer RNA is filed under the name Schizophyllum commune. RNAcentral describes it as "tRNA-Trp". It matches the Rfam family "tRNA". From Rfam's summary of the family: Transfer RNA (tRNA) molecules are approximately 80 nucleotides in length. Their secondary structure includes four short double-helical elements and three loops (D, anti-codon, and T loops). Further hydrogen bonds mediate the characteristic L-shaped molecular structure. tRNAs have two regions of fundamental functional importance: the anti-codon, which is responsible for specific mRNA codon recognition, and the 3' end, to which the tRNAs corresponding amino acid is attached (by aminoacyl-tRNA synthetases). tRNAs cope with the degeneracy of the genetic code in two manners: having more than one tRNA (with a specific anti-codon) for a particular amino acid; and 'wobble' base-pairing, i.e. permitting non-standard base-pairing at the 3rd anti-codon position. The record is from RNAcentral. RNAcentral also lists the same sequence under 1 other name. Lineage: Eukaryota; Fungi; Basidiomycota; Agaricomycetes; Agaricales; Schizophyllaceae.